This 1362-nucleotide long non-coding RNA is filed under the name Homo sapiens (human). RNAcentral describes it as "non-protein coding lnc-ZRANB1-2:4". Lineage: Eukaryota; Metazoa; Chordata; Mammalia; Primates; Hominidae. The record is from RNAcentral.
AUUCUGCACGGCUGGCCUGCUCCGGGCGCUGCUGAUGCUGCUGGUUCCUGGACCACCCUUGAGACCCUGGAUGACCUCUGAGGUGCUGCCUCCUUGCAAAAACCCUCAGCUCUUGGGACCUCUCCCUGCGCUUCCGAAGCCCUUUCAGAUAUUUUCCUGUAGCCCUCACAAAGAGCUUGGGGUUGCGGUUUCUGCCGCUGUUGACUCUCACGUGGGGUUGUCAUGUCAGGGAAACAUGGAAAGGAAGGGAGGUGAAAAGAGACAAUAGGAAAACCGUAGGCUGUGACGGGAAAAAAUGAAACAGAUGAGUGAGAAGAAAAGUCCAAGAGCCAGGAUGACGGCGCAGUGAUGGCUCACUUUGCGUUGCUGUUCCGUCCACUGUUCCACUGACUGUGAACUCUGUCAGAGUAGGGAGAUUUUUUUGAAACUCAUAAACUUUCAAGAACAUGAGAGGAGAACAGCAGCACAGUCUGGGAGUCUGAGCAACAGAUGGACGAGUGGUAACUGCUUUAGCAGAUUUGGGAAGGCUGAAUCCCCAGCUGGUGGUUGAGAAAAUGGAAAAUCAACUCCAUGUACGCAGCUGAAUCCUCAAAACACGCAGGAGUGGGUGGCACCAGGAUGGUUGCAGAUACUGGGCUGCGGAAGAGGGCAGGUGGCAAUGGAGCCAAUCGGUGGGGACAGGACUGCUCAUGGAGCAUUGAGAAGGAAGCCUCUGGGAAGAGGAUUCAGAACCAGACAAGGAAAGGACCUGAGGUUGUCUGAGCUCCACAUCCUCCAAGACCGAGUUGAAAUGUUACCUUCCUGAAGAGCCUUCCUGAUUCCUAAGGGGAUUGCUCACCUCUCGUUUAUGCCUCCAUUGGGCAUUGAUUACGGAUGGCGGAGCAACCAGGAGGCUUCUAAGGGCUUCAUCCUGUAGGCGAGAUCGAUGAGGCGCCCACUGUUCUCAUCGGCAGCACUGCAAUGGUAUUUCCCAGACCACACUGGUAGCAGGUGAGUAUUAGGACCUGGAUGAAGGCUCUGCAGUGAAGUCAGUGGGAGAAUCUCUGCCUCCAACACUCAGCUUUUGGAAAUUCACAUUUACAGUGCACAUUUGAAUCCCAGAGUCUCUGAAAAGGCCUGCUGUAAAUAAAUAGUUUGAUUUAACUUUGUUCACUCCAGUGUGUCCCAAACUUACAUAACCACACUUUUUUGGAGUUAUAUUUUAUUUUCUUUAAAAAGUUAUUCUUAUGACAUAUUUCGAGCACUCAGGAAAGGCUAGAGGACAGCAUGGUAAGUAUUCUGGGGUUGAUCACCUGCUGUGUUCAGUCUUAACAUCUGGUCAUAUUAUAACAGAUUAAAAAAAAUCAACCCCCUUUUUUUUUU